GACGAACGCUGGCGGCGUGCUUAACACAUGCAAGUCGAACGGAAAGGCCCUGCUUUUGUGGGGUGCUCGAGUGGCGAACGGGUGAGUAACACGUGAGUAACCUGCCCUUGACUUUGGGAUAACUUCAGGAAACUGGGGCUAAUACCGGAUAGGAGCUCCUGCUGCAUGGUGGGGGUUGGAAAGUUUCGGCGGUUGGGGAUGGACUCGCGGCUUAUCAGCUUGUUGGUGGGGUAUUGGCUUACCAAGGCUUUGACGGGUAGCCGGCCUGAGAGGGUGACCGGCCACAAUGGGACUGAGAUACGGCCCAGACUGCUACGGGGGGCAGCAGUGGGGAAUAUUGCACAAUGGGCGGAAGCCUGAUGCAGCAACGCCGCGUGCGGGAUGACGGCCUUCGGGUUGUAAACCGCUUUCGCCUGUGACGAAGCGGGAGUGACGGUAAUGGGUAAAGAAGCACCGGCUAACUACGUG
This 468-nucleotide ribosomal RNA is filed under the name uncultured bacterium. Its description in RNAcentral is "partial 16S ribosomal RNA". It matches the Rfam family "Bacterial small subunit ribosomal RNA", at positions 28 to 507 of the family's 1533-position model. The record is from RNAcentral.